GAAUAUUGGGCAAUGGACGCAAGUCUGAUCCAGCCAUGCCGCGUGCAGGAAGAAGGCCUUCUGGGUUGUAAACUGCUUUUACCAGGGGAUAAAAAGCCCAUGCGUGGGAAAUUGAAGGUACCUGGUGAAUAAGCCACGGCUAACUACGUGCCAGCAGCCGCGGUAAUACGUAGGUGGCAAGCGUUGUCCGGAUUUAUUGGGUUUAAAGGGUGCGUAGGCGGUCUUUUAAGUCAGUGCUGAAAUAUCCCGGCUUAACCGGGAGGGUGGCAUUGAUACUGAAGGACUUGAGUAAAGUUGAGGUAGGCGGAAUUGACGGUGUAGCGGUGAAAUGCUUAGAUAUCGUCAAGAACACCGAUAGUGUAGACAGCUUACUAAGCUUUAACUGACGCUGAGGCACGAAAGUGUGGGGAUCAAAC
RNAcentral lists this ribosomal RNA (416 nucleotides) under uncultured bacterium. RNAcentral describes it as "bacterial SSU rRNA". It matches the Rfam family "Bacterial small subunit ribosomal RNA", at positions 359 to 773 of the family's 1533-position model. The record is from RNAcentral.